UACGUAGGGGCCUAGCGUUGUCCGGAAUUAUUGGGCGUAAAGAGCUCGUAGGCGGUUUGUCGCGUCUGCUGUGAAAGACCGGGGCUCAACUCCGGUUCUGCAGUGGGUACGGGCAGACUAGAGUGAUGUAGGGGAGACUGGAAUUCCUGGUGUAGCGGUGAAAUGCGCAGAUAUCAGGAGGAACACCGAUGGCGAAGGCAGGUCUCUGGGCAUUAACUGACGCUGAGGAGCGAAAGCAUGGGGAGCGAACAGG
Molecule: ribosomal RNA, 253 nt
Filed under: uncultured bacterium
Lineage: Bacteria
Description: partial 16S ribosomal RNA
Rfam family: Bacterial small subunit ribosomal RNA
Source: RNAcentral